CUGGUGGCUCAGCAGAUUAAGGAUCUGGCAUUGUCACUGUUUUGGCGCAGGCUUGAUCCCUGGCCUGGGAACUUCUGCAUGCCAUGGUUGUGGCUGGGAAAAAAAAAAAAAAGGUGUCAUCAGUCUUGAUCAAGUAGUUUGAUUUGUUGUUGUCGUCUUUGCUAUUUAGGGCCUCAUGUGUGGCAUAUGGAAGUUCCCAGGCUCUGAGUUGAACACGAGCUGUAGCCGCUGGACUAUGCCACAGCUACAGCAAUGCUUGUUCCAAGCCUUGUCUGUGACCUACACCACAGGUCGUGGCAAUUGCUGGAUCCUCUACCCACUGAGCGAGGCCAGGGAUUGAACCUGCAUCCUCACGGAUACUAGUUGGAUUUGUUACCACUGAGCCACAAGGGGAACUCCAAUAGUUUGAUUUUUAUCCUCAGUCCUAAAUUUACAUAUAGGGAGACAGUCCACUGUGGGUAAGAGCAUGGGAUUGAGUUCAAUCCUUUGCUUUGUGUUUUCCUAGCUGUGUGACCCUGGGCAAGUUGUUUGGCUUCUCUGAAUCCUGGCUUCCUCUUGUACGAAAUGAGGGUAACAAUGGGUUGAAGAUUAAAUGAGCUAAUGUGUAUGAAUGCUUUACACUGUGCUGGUAUGUUGUAAUCAUUACUUAAAUGGUUUCUGCAGUUUAUAAUAUGAGAUAUAUGUUUAUAUAUGCUAUAAAACAAAGCAUAUCCCUGUAUAUUUAUUUAUGUCAGUAGUUUAUUUUGGGCUUGUGAGGAUAGGGAUGGCCUACUUUAUGUUCUUUCUUAUUGGAAAUACAUAAAACAUGUCAUAAAUGCUUCAUUUCAGGGUGGCAACACUCAGCUGUAUUUGCUUUUGCUUUAUGGCCCUCUCCUCAGGUGCAUUUCAGAACAAACACUCCACGUUGCACGAGGCUAACUCUGACGUAGAGAUCGGAGGGCGAGAAGGCACUGGAUUCAGAGCUUGUUUCCUUGCUGUUAACUGAGCAGCCAAACUUAAAGCCUCAUACUCUUGUGUGCAAAACCCUCACAAUGUUACUGAAUAUUUACGCCUCUCCCUCCCGCUUCCUCUAAAUCCACAUGUUGAAGCCGGGAUGCCCAGUGUGAUGGUGUCUGAGGCAGAGCCUUUGGGAAGUACAGGAACCUUGGUCUUGGACUUUCUGUUCCCAUGACUGGGGGAAAUAAAGGUUGUUGUCUAAGGCACCCAGUCUAUGGAAUUAUGCUAUAGUAACCUGAACAGACCAAGAGAGCCUUGCUCCACACAUCUGGUGGUCAGCCACUCUGAUGCCAAGGUGUCCAAGGGGUCCUCCUCUUUGCUAAUGUCCCUUCCUUCUCAGAGUUGCUGCAGCCCUGGCUUCUCUGGCUACUUUUUUCUCCUCUCUGAUGGAGAUCAGGUGAAUCAGAAUUGCUGGGCAGAGACCUGGGAAUCUGGAUUUUAUGGAGCUCCCCAGAUGAUUCUGAUGGGUAGGGCAUCCUAGCAAGGGAACCAGUGCUGUGACCUAUGGCCACUCAGUCUCCUCUGAGGGAGGAAGCAGGUGGGGGUCUCACCCACACACCCUCCCUUAAUGCGGUACCUGGAGACCUCACAGCGGGGCCCGGGGGGGGAUGAUCAGCGGAAUAGCCCUGAGGCUGUGUGACGGGACCCUUCCUCUAACUGAAGGCAUGUCUUUGGUGUGAGUUCAGGUGAGAGGGACAGAAAUGGUGGGAACAGCAGGCCAGAUUGUGUGGGCCCAGGACUUUUUCUCCAGUCAGCAGUCCUGCCCACCUCCUGGCCAGGUGAGCCUUCCAGAGUGGCCUGAGGCAGUCAUCUCAGAGAGGUCGAUUGAGUACUGGGAACUGGGGUGACACUGGGAACUGGGGUCCUGAAAUUCCUUCAUUUCAGAAAAGUUUAGACCUCUUCCAUGGGCUAAUAACUUCUCUCCUGCAAAUCUUCCUCUCAUCCAGAAGGUCAGAUUGGUUGUUCAAUGGAGCAGAAUGUUUUCUGAGUGCCCACUCUGUGCCAGGUACAGAGCUAAGACUCAGCUACUGAGCUGAAUCACGCAUCUCUGAAAUGCUUUCAGUCUCUGGAAGUGGGUUCAGAGUGGGUUCCGAGGAUCGGUUGUGGCAGGAUAACCUGGAGCGGUUUGUUUAAAACAUAGCUGCCCAGUGUCAGCAAAUGCCUCACUCUGGUGAGGGGGUUUGAUAAUGGGAGAGGCUAAGCAAGCGUGGGGGCAGGGAAUACAAAUGGGAACUCUCUGUACCUUCUGUUCGCUUUUUUCUGUGAACCUGAAAAUACUCUAUAAAAGUAGUUAAAUAAAGUGCAGAUGUGGGAGCUCCCCAAACCCAGGUCUCCUUAUGCAGAAUUUCAGAGUGGUGUCUCUGCAGCUUUGGAAGGCCCUGUGUAGAAUCUCAUUCACCAUAAAGUUAGAAGCAGGGAAGCUAGCUACUUAAAUUCUUAAAACACCCCCAAAUUUAUGUUCAUUGUAUAAAGUACAUAUAAACAAAAAGAAGGAAAUUAAAACCACUUGUAACUCUACUCUCCUAAGAUAAUCAUUCUUGGCAUGUUAUUGAAUACCCUUCUAGAUAUGUGUCUGUGUGUGUGUGUUUAGACCUAUGUGUCGCAUCCAUGUAUACCUGGCGGUGCACUAAGCCCUAGGGACAGAGAUGAGAAAAAGAAUGGGCCUGGCUGUGAAACACCUACAGCCAUGUUAAAUGAUACCUGGCACAGCUCAGUGCCCAGCCUCAGUCACCCACUCAUCUGCUCUUACCUUUUCCCCGCAGGUGUAUAUCAUCAACGUGACCUGGUCUGACUCCACGUCCCAGACCAUCUACCGGAGGUACAGCAAGUUCUUUGACCUGCAGGUGAGUGGGUCUGAGCUUGUAUGGUGCCUGGUUCCACCUGAAGUGGCCUGAGUCUCUAGUGGGCUAGUCUCUUCAUGCCCCUACUCAUCCAGAGAACCCCCUCCAGACCUCUCAGGAUCAGAUUCUAACCAGAGCAGAAGGAUGGAGGAGGGGACCUUGGUGGUCGAGCUGGACUAGACUCAGUCUUGGGUGUUGCAGGCAGACACUUGGGGCUGUGCCGGCUUCCUCAAACGGUCUUAACAGUCAUGGUUUGUCACCCUCCUUCGUCUGGGGGUGGAAAACCAGGGCGGAGAGGCAGGAGGAUGGCUGUAGGUGCUGUGUGCCUGAGCAGCCAUGUGUCUAUAAACAUCCAGGGUGAGACACAAGCCACCACAUCAUUGUAGGCAAAGAAAAGCAAACACACAGAAAAGACUGUAACAGAAAAUGAGCCAUUUCUUGAACUACAGACACAAACUGGGGAUACCACUGUGUCUAUCUAAUGGAAUCAGGCCCUUGUUGCCCUAUUUGUACACAUGUAUGAUGUGUGUGCCUCUCUAACGUACACAAGCGUGUCACACAGGGGGAUGGUAGCAUGGCUCCUACAGCUCCAUUGUGGACACCUUCCUUGAUGCCAACUAAUUUGGCUAGGCCUCUUCGGGUUAUAAAUGAUAGUUUUAUACUCAUACUGGCUUAGACAAAAAAGAGACUUGGUUGGAAGGAUAUACGAGGGAAGCUUAUGCAGUCAACCUGUGGUGGAAAAGGGAGUGAGGCAGUGGGCUCAGGGACGGCUGAAACUGGGUGCUGCUCUCCAUCUGUCUUGUCUCUGGGCACUAUCCUCAGCUUCCUGAGUAGCUCAGCUCCUAAUAGCUCCCAAAUUUCAUAUUUUGUGGUUUCCAACAGCACAGAAACUGUGCUUCUCUCCCAGUUCCAAAUUGGAGCAUCCCAGGGAAGAUUCUGAUUGGCCUGAGCUGGAUCAGGUACCCUCUCUGCACCAAUCACUAUGGCCUGUUAUAGAGGGGCAUAGGCACAGACAAAGCCACUAGGGGGUCCACCCCUGUUUAUCAGAGGCAGGCACCAGACAAGGCAGAAUUACUGUGAGUCGGGCGGCAACCCUUGCUCUACCAGGAAGGGAAAACUGAGAGUGUCUAGAUUCUUCCUUAGGGCUAUCAGCCUGGUCAAUAAAAACACAAAGAACAUCCACUGCUGGCCCUAACAACCAAGGUCCACUCCUUCGUCUGCUGGCCUCUCUGGUGGUGAGUCAUCUUAGAGAGGCUAGGCUUGCAAUGUUCACACCCAUGUACCUGACCUUAUCCCAUUGUCCUUAUUACUGUACCUGUGAGAUGAGCCAAAGGUGAGCCAGCUUCCUGCAUUACGAAUCCUCUCUUAAUCUAACACUAUGGGCUUGGAUAUCUCAUUGAAUAUGGGAUUAAAAGCCACUCCUUACCCUCCUGCCUUCUUCUUCCCCCAUCAAUUCCUGUCCAGUCUCAUUGUGUCCUUUUGUCAUAAACUGUUGGAAUUUGCUGGUACCCCAUCAAUGGGUGUAGUGUGCUGGACAGGAAAUGAUAACUUAGUUGGGGAGAGGGAACCCUGAAAGGACUCAUUGAUGAGCCAGAGGAGGUCUGAGAGCUCUCAAAUCAGAACUACCCCCCCGCCCCCACCACCUUUCUAUUCUGUUCCUGCUCCCCUUCCCUAGUUACAGAAUCUCACAAGAAAGGAAUGCUGCUCCCCCCACUUCUCCCUUGCCUGGAGGGUUCUUUGUGUCAGAGGGGACACAUGGCAUGAAGCAACUUGUAGGAUGUGCUGGCCGUGGUCAUGAGCAUGGCCAGGCCUGUCCAUGUGGUUCAUUGCCACCCUCUUGACCCUCUUGAUGCUGUUUGGAAAGGAGUUGGGAUGGUUCUUUGGAAUUUAACCUUUCAACCAAGCAAGCAUCUUUGGGAACCUGUUUUUCAAAACUUUGACACGAUGACUUUUAGUGAGGUUCAUUUUAGGGAGCCUUUCGUAUUUAUCAGGAUCUCUGAUUUUAAUAUGGUGGUUCCUAUAGAGGAAGAACAAAUGGCAUUGCUGAUUCCCUCUCUGGUAACUGGUGGCCCUCAGAAUGCAGCUUGGAGCUUAGGCACUGGGGACCCAUUGCCCAGGACUGGUUACUGGCUCUGUCCCUCUCUAACCCCAGACACCUCCAUAACUUCUCCAUUUUUUCAAGAAUGAAGAUUUCAAUGGUAACCACCCAGUAGGGUUGUUGUGAGGAUUGAGUGAGUGAAUCCAUGUUUUUCUGAACACGUGGUUGUCUAGUGAGUUAUUCAGUGUUAAGGGUGACUAGGACGCUGGGCUGCCUGGCUGGAGGGUCUCCCAUCAUGGUGUUGCUUUCUCGGUUCCCUCUCUUGGCUUCACUCUGCUGAGGAGCUACCCUGGGCCCAGGCCUGUGCCAAAGUCUUUAGAGUCCCACAGGCUCUCUCUGGAGUCUGCCCCUGGAGCAGGCUGCAGUGAGUGGCGGGGGGUGAGGGGGGCUGUAUAGCCUGCAGAGGGCUGUUCUCAGAAUCCUCCUGCUCCUCCCCUUUUUGGAGGAGCCCACCUUGGAACCCUGGAAGUCCUAGGCUGAUGAAGCCAGCCUGGGGGAAGCUGCUUACCAACUUGUGAUUCUAUGGCUUCAGGAGAGCAUAUACU
Molecule: long non-coding RNA, 5480 nt
Filed under: Sus scrofa (pig)
Lineage: Eukaryota; Metazoa; Chordata; Mammalia; Artiodactyla; Suidae
Description: lncRNA (ENSSSCG00040048277.1)
Source: RNAcentral